RNAcentral lists this long non-coding RNA (800 nucleotides) under Setaria italica (foxtail millet). RNAcentral's name for it is "long non-coding RNA (SITA_LNC002765)". The record is from RNAcentral. Lineage: Eukaryota; Viridiplantae; Streptophyta; Magnoliopsida; Poales; Poaceae.
GGGAGCUUGUGAAAACAUGCGGAACUGUUGGAGGCUCUCUUUUUUUUCCUUUUCUCCCUAAUCGCAUGGGCGGAGCCAGCUGGAUUUACCUAGGAAUUUUGCCAAAACUUCAAGUAUCUAUAAGCCAUAUACAUCUAUAUACUUGUUAGGUAAGCUUAUUUCUUCUUCUCUCAAGCAAAUCUGAGUACAAUUUUGUUCUUAGGCCCAAUCUUCUUCUCUAGUUCCUCUCAGUCUACCCUCCUAAUCAACCAUCUUCACUUCCUAGCGCGUGACUGCGCAGCAUCAAGUAGGUGGGAAGAUGGACGCGAGCCACGGAGGGUGGCGCAUAGUUAAACUGCUUGGUUGUAUCAGUUCGAUGCAGUCAUGCAGGUAACUUGAAGUUAGUGCUAAUCUACUGAAAAUAGAAUAUUGUAAUGUGUAUGUAGAAGCUUCGCCUGCACUUGCUGGGUAGAACGAUACGAGGUUAUCAUAGGUGUGAAAAUUUAUUUCCCUGACACGCUACUGUUGCAGUGAUAGAACUGAAGCAACAUGCUCAUUGAUAGCUUCAGCAAUUAAAGAACCUUGUGCAUCUCCCGGAGCCCGCAUUGUUGAUUUGGAUGUGUUGUUUGUUUUGCAAAGCUUGAUGUCAAAUGAGAGAGCACCCCAGUUGUACGUCUUCAGACCCAGCAUAGGGUGAUAGCUAGGGAACGACAGGACGAUCCCGCUGAGGACAACACCAAACGCUUAAAGCUCUGAAGCAAUGCCAUUUUCUUUAAAAACUUCUGUAGCUUUUCAGUUGUUGAUAUAUCUGUAGUUUGAAC